CAUCUCGGGAGCCCUUGGAGAGGCCUCCCUGCCUGCUUCUCCUCCUGCUCAGCACUGGGGGUGACGUGGAAGCCAUGCACUUGGUGGGGUUUGGUCAGCAGAUGAAGCAGGAGCCCCAUGGUUGGAACUGGAGUGCCGAGGACAGAGAGGACCAGGAACCUAGCCAAGCUCCUGGCAAAGACUCUCUAGCCCAAGGUGACUUGCUCAAGACCACAUGGACUCUGGCUGAUGAGCAUCCUCACCAGGGUGCACAUGGCUGAUAUCCAGCUGCUCGUGAGAACCUGUCAGGAUGUCGGGAUGAGGAAAAGGGAGCGCUCAGAGCUGGAUGCCUCACAAACAAUGUGCCAGGCGCCCUGCCAAGCGCUUUCCAUGCCUUCCCUGUCUCAGGAGCCUCCCGCUUCUUGAAGGACCAGAGCCGGAGGAAGAGGGAGCAGGAAAGGACCUGAUGAGUGGCUGGGGAAGAGAGCCGUGG
Molecule: long non-coding RNA, 472 nt
Filed under: Equus caballus (horse)
Lineage: Eukaryota; Metazoa; Chordata; Mammalia; Perissodactyla; Equidae
Description: lncRNA (ENSECAG00000055796.1)
Source: RNAcentral